CCUACGGUGGGCAGCAGUGGGGAAUAUUGCACAAUGGGGGAAACCCUGAUGCAGCGACGCCGCGUGAGCGAUGAAGUAUUUCGGUAUGUAAAGCUCUAUCAGCAGGGAAGAAAAUGACGUUACCUGACUAAGAAGCCCCUGCUAACUACGUGCCAGCAACCGCGGUAAUACGGAGGGGGCAAGCGUUAGUCGGAUUUACUGGGUGUAAAGUGAGCGUAGACGGCAAUGCAAGCCACAUGUGAAAGCCCGGGGCUCAACCCCGGGACUGCAUUUGAAACUGUAUAGCUGGAGUGUCGGAGAGGCAGGCGGAAUUCCUAGUGUAGCAGUGAAAUGCGUAGAUAUUAGGAGGAACACCAGUGGCGAAGGCGGCCAGCUGGACGAUGACUGACGUUGAGGCUCGAAAGCGUGGGGAGCAAACAGGAUUAGAUACCCCUGUAGUC
Molecule: ribosomal RNA, 440 nt
Filed under: uncultured bacterium
Lineage: Bacteria
Description: partial 16S ribosomal RNA
Rfam family: Bacterial small subunit ribosomal RNA
Source: RNAcentral